This 484-nucleotide ribosomal RNA is filed under the name uncultured bacterium. Its description in RNAcentral is "partial 16S ribosomal RNA". It matches the Rfam family "Bacterial small subunit ribosomal RNA", at positions 30 to 507 of the family's 1533-position model. The record is from RNAcentral.
AUUGAACGCUGGCGGCAUGCUUUACACAUGCAAGUCGAACGGCAGCGCGGGCUUCGGCCUGGCGGCGAGUGGCGAACGGGUGAGUAAUACAUCGGAACGUGCCCAGUAGUGGGGGAUAGCUCGGCGAAAGCCGGAUUAAUACCGCAUACGACCUGAGGGUGAAAGCGGGGGAUCUUCGGACCUCGCGCUAUUUGAGCGGCCGAUGGCAGAUUAGUUAGUUGGUGGGGUAAAGGCCUACCAAGGCGACGAUCUGUAGCUGGUCUGAGAGGACGACCAGCCACACUGGAACUGAGACACGGCCCAGACUCCUACGGGAGGCAGCAGUGGGGAAUUUUGGACAAUGGGCGAAAGCAUGAUCCAGCAAUGCCGCGUGUGUGAUGAAGGCCUUCGGGUUGUAAAGCACUUUUGGCGGGAACGAAAAGGACUGUGCCAAUACCACGGUUCGAUGACGGUACCCGCAGAAUAAGCACCGGCUAACUACGUG